CAAUUAAUUAAAGGAAUCAGGGAUUUAAUUGAAGAAAUACCAAAGUUUGGAGCUGAUUCAAGGAAGAUUGCUAGAAAAUUAAAGUCCAAGGACCAAAUUGAAUAGUCCAGAAACCCAGGACUGUUAUGUAAAUGGCGCUAUAACUCAGGGAUUCAAAUUGAAUCUAAUCCAAGGGCACAAUUAGAAAUUAAUUAUGACUGAUUAAGAUCCCAAUUGUUGAGUUUAAAACGUUCAGGGGUCAAAAUGAAAAUGUCCAUUGCUGCCGAAACGUUGCCGUUGCUGGUGGAACAAUCGUGUUCAUCUUCUCCAUCCCGAUUCAACAGGCUGAAAAUCUGCAACGGAUUCGAUCCAAUCGUGGAUCACGUCUCUCGCCCACGAUCUCGUUCGUGGCAAAUAACAGUCCUGCAAAGGCAGGACUGGUUAAAGGAGGCAGCUUGGGAAUCUCUAUAAAAGGGAGAAGGAAACCUGGAAAAAGGGACCAAAAAAAGAGAAAACGAGAGCAAAAACAGAGAGCAGAAAUACAAAGCAAAAAAACCAAAACACAGAAAAGAGAAGGAAAAGUAAAGGAGCAGGACAGAUAGGAGUAUUGGCUUAGCCAUUGCUUUUGUCCCUGCAGGCAAAGGAAAGACCCGGAAUCAGUCAGAGAAAACCGGUAUACCCAUUACCUUCUUAGUUCGUUCAUCUCAAGAACUGAGCAAACACAGUGCGCCAUCGUUUUCAGCUA
This 724-nucleotide long non-coding RNA is filed under the name Populus trichocarpa (black cottonwood). RNAcentral describes it as "long non-coding RNA (PTRI_LNC002648)". The record is from RNAcentral. Lineage: Eukaryota; Viridiplantae; Streptophyta; Magnoliopsida; Malpighiales; Salicaceae.